Molecule: long non-coding RNA, 1829 nt
Organism: Ananas comosus (pineapple)
Lineage: Eukaryota; Viridiplantae; Streptophyta; Magnoliopsida; Poales; Bromeliaceae
Exons: 14
Source: RefSeq, a predicted model, not a curated record
AGAAGCUAAUUGUGAUCAAAGUGGUCACAAUAACGCUAAAAUGGAAAUUAAGUGUUUCCAAACUUAACUAGAGGCUUGAGAACACCAAGUGACAGGUUUUGGAAAUGUGGGAAUAGAUAAGAAUGGAAUUGGAGUGGCUAAAUACAUUCAAUUGCCAUUUUGACUCGAAAGCUGAAAUUCUAGUCACUUUGGUCAAAAAUGGCCAAAUUGAUACCAAAUUGGAAAUUAAUUGCUUCCAAAUUAAUUUGACAACUUGUAGAGGUAUAUUAGUGUAAUUUGGAAGUGCUUGAGUGGACUUGAAGUGAGUUGGAUGGGCAAAAUAAGCUUCAAAGUGCUGCUACAGCUAGUUGUUUAGUGCAGGGACUGAAUUGUAAGCUCCAGGGACUAAACUGUGAACCUGCAGGGACUGAAUCGCGAACUACUGGACUGCAAUGCAGUUUUAGCAUUUUGAGGGAUUAAACAGCAAUUUGCUGAGCUUAUCACCUUAACCCAGUCCAGCUAAAUAUGUCUACGUGGAGAGGGUGGUGUGGCAAAUUGAAGCUUUGGAGGUUGAUAGGAGCUGUCGAACAGCAGGAAACCAGCUAAGAAGGUUUAUAACUUCAGAGUUAGUGGCUGUGAAAGAAGGCUUGGUGGUGAGCAGAUUUGAGGUUUGUGGCCUGAUUGGAGCUACCAAAUUAGAGUUCCAGCUGAGGAAACUUGAAAAUUAAAGAAUGCAAGGAAUUAAAGAGGAAUCGUGAAGAUCUCGGCGCCCAAAUUGAAAGAGGCUGAUGGAUCCUCUUAGAUAAUUCGAAUUAAAAAAAGAACUUGAUAAAACCUUGAAUCAAGGGGGCUGCGAAGGAGAAGCCGAAGUGCUGAAAUUUCUGCAUUGCGCAGAAUUUCAGCAUAGACUACUUGCUAUUGGAAUUGGAAAAGAGAACUUGGUGAAGCUUCGAAUUGGGGGCUGCAAAGGGGAAGUAGGUGUGCAGAAUUUCAGCAUAAGUACCCUGCUGUUGGAGCUGAAAGAAAGCGUGUUGGAGCUGCGAAUUGAGGUCGGCGAAGCGUUAAUUGCAUUAGAAGCCAAUUCGGCUCUAGUUGCAUUGAGUCGCGUAAUACCUUUGCGGAUUCACUUCGAGACGUGGAUUCUAGUUGUUGACACCACUACAGCCGAUUGAUGCAGGGAGAGGGUGGUGUGGCAAAUUGAAGCUUUGGAGGUUGAUAGGAGCUGUCGAACAGCAGGAAACCAGCUAAGAAGGUUUAUAACUUCAGAGUUAGUGGCUGUGAAAGAAGGCUUGGUGGUGAGCAGAUUUGAGGUUUGUGGCCUGAUUGGAGCUACCAAAUUAGAGUUCCAGCUGAGGAAACUUGAAAAUUAAAGAAUGCAAGGAAUUAAAGAGGAAUCGUGAAGAUCUCGGCGCCCAAAUUGAAAGAGGCUGAUGGAUCCUCUUAGAUAAUUCGAAUUAAAAAAAGAACUUGAUAAAACCUUGAAUCAAGGGGGCUGCGAAGGAGAAGCCGAAGUGCUGAAAUUUCUGCAUUGCGCAGAAUUUCAGCAUAGACUACUUGCUAUUGGAAUUGGAAAAGAGAACUUGGUGAAGCUUCGAAUUGGGGGCUGCAAAGGGGAAGUAGGUGUGCAGAAUUUCAGCAUAAGUACCCUGCUGUUGGAGCUGAAAGAAAGCGUGUUGGAGCUGCGAAUUGAGGUCGGCGAAGCGUUAAUUGCAUUAGAAGCCAAUUCGGCUCUAGUUGCAUUGAGUCGCGUAAUACCUUUGCGGAUUCACUUCGAGACGUGGAUUCUAGUUGUUGACACCACUACAGGUUCCAGUGCGAGUAUUGUGGCCGAGGAUCGAGGCAAGAGCCAG